RNAcentral lists this ribosomal RNA (2555 nucleotides) under Escherichia coli. RNAcentral describes it as "partial 23S ribosomal RNA". It matches the Rfam family "Bacterial large subunit ribosomal RNA", at positions 379 to 2915 of the family's 2925-position model. Lineage: Bacteria; Pseudomonadati; Pseudomonadota; Gammaproteobacteria; Enterobacterales; Enterobacteriaceae. The record is from RNAcentral.
ACAAAAAUGCACAUGCUGUGAGCUCGAUGAGUAGGGCGGGACACGUGGUAUCCUGUCUGAAUAUGGGGGGACCAUCCUCCAAGGCUAAAUACUCCUGACUGACCGAUAGUGAACCAGUACCGUGAGGGAAAGGCGAAAAGAACCCCGGCGAGGGGAGUGAAAAAGAACCUGAAACCGUGUACGUACAAGCAGUGGGAGCACAGAGCAAUCUGUGUGACUGCGUACCUUUUGUAUAAUGGGUCAGCGACUUAUAUUCUGUAGCAAGGUUAACCGAAUAGGGGAGCCGAAGGGAAACCGAGUCUUAACUGGGCGUUAAGUUGCAGGGUAUAGACCCGAAACCCGGUGAUCUAGCCAUGGGCAGGUUGAAGGUUGGGUAACACUAACUGGAGGACCGAACCGACUAAUGUUGAAAAAUUAGCGGAUGACUUGUGGCUGGGGGUGAAAGGCCAAUCAAACCGGGAGAUAGCUGGUUCUCCCCGAAAGCUAUUUAGGUAGCGCCUCGUGAAUUCAUCUCCGGGGGUAGAGCACUGUUUCGGCAAGGGGGUCAUCCCGACUUACCAACCCGAUGCAAACUGCGAAUACCGGAGAAUGUUAUCACGGGAGACACACGGCGGGUGCUAACGUCCGUCGUGAAGAGGGAAACAACCCAGACCGCCAGCUAAGGUCCCAAAGUCAUGGUUAAGUGGGAAACGAUGUGGGAAGGCCCAGACAGCCAGGAUGUUGGCUUAGAAGCAGCCAUCAUUUAAAGAAAGCGUAAUAGCUCACUGGUCGAGUCGGCCUGCGCGGAAGAUGUAACGGGGCUAAACCAUGCACCGAAGCUGCGGCAGCGACGCUUAUGCGUUGUUGGGUAGGGGAGCGUUCUGUAAGCCUGCGAAGGUGUGCUGUGAGGCAUGCUGGAGGUAUCAGAAGUGCGAAUGCUGACAUAAGUAACGAUAAAGCGGGUGAAAAGCCCGCUCGCCGGAAGACCAAGGGUUCCUGUCCAACGUUAAUCGGGGCAGGGUGAGUCGACCCCUAAGGCGAGGCCGAAAGGCGUAGUCGAUGGGAAACAGGUUAAUAUUCCUGUACUUGGUGUUACUGCGAAGGGGGGACGGAGAAGGCUAUGUUGGCCGGGCGACGGUUGUCCCGGUUUAAGCGUGUAGGCUGGUUUUCCAGGCAAAUCCGGAAAAUCAAGGCUGAGGCGUGAUGACGAGGCACUACGGUGCUGAAGCAACAAAUGCCCUGCUUCCAGGAAAAGCCUCUAAGCAUCAGGUAACAUCAAAUCGUACCCCAAACCGACACAGGUGGUCAGGUAGAGAAUACCAAGGCGCUUGAGAGAACUCGGGUGAAGGAACUAGGCAAAAUGGUGCCGUAACUUCGGGAGAAGGCACGCUGAUAUGUAGGUGAAGCGACUUGCUCGUGGAGCUGAAAUCAGUCGAAGAUACCAGCUGGCUGCAACUGUUUAUUAAAAACACAGCACUGUGCAAACACGAAAGUGGACGUAUACGGUGUGACGCCUGCCCGGUGCCGGAAGGUUAAUUGAUGGGGUCAGCGCAAGCGAAGCUCUUGAUCGAAGCCCCGGUAAACGGCGGCCGUAACUAUAACGGUCCUAAGGUAGCGAAAUUCCUUGUCGGGUAAGUUCCGACCUGCACGAAUGGCGUAAUGAUGGCCAGGCUGUCUCCACCCGAGACUCAGUGAAAUUGAACUCGCUGUGAAGAUGCAGUGUACCCGCGGCAAGACGGAAAGACCCCGUGAACCUUUACUAUAGCUUGACACUGAACAUUGAGCCUUGAUGUGUAGGAUAGGUGGGAGGCUUUGAAGUGUGGACGCCAGUCUGCAUGGAGCCGACCUUGAAAUACCACCCUUUAAUGUUUGAUGUUCUAACGUGGACCCGUAAUCCGGGUUGCGGACAGUGUCUGGUGGGUAGUUUGACUGGGGCGGUCUCCUCCUAAAGAGUAACGGAGGAGCACGAAGGUUGGCUAAUCCUGGUCGGACAUCAGGAGGUUAGUGCAAUGGCAUAAGCCAGCUUGACUGCGAGCGUGACGGCGCGAGCAGGUGCGAAAGCAGGUCAUAGUGAUCCGGUGGUUCUGAAUGGAAGGGCCAUCGCUCAACGGAUAAAAGGUACUCCGGGGAUAACAGGCUGAUACCGCCCAAGAGUUCAUAUCGACGGCGGUGUUUGGCACCUCGAUGUCGGCUCAUCACAUCCUGGGGCUGAAGUAGGUCCCAAGGGUAUGGCUGUUCGCCAUUUAAAGUGGUACGCGAGCUGGGUUUAGAACGUCGUGAGACAGUUCGGUCCCUAUCUGCCGUGGGCGCUGGAGAACUGAGGGGGGCUGCUCCUAGUACGAGAGGACCGGAGUGGACGCAUCACUGGUGUUCGGGUUGUCAUGCCAAUGGCACUGCCCGGUAGCUAAAUGCGGAAGAGAUAAGUGCUGAAAGCAUCUAAGCACGAAACUUGCCCCGAGAUGAGUUCUCCCUGACUCCUUGAGAGUCCUGAAGGAACGUUGAAGACGACGACGUUGAUAGGCCGGGUGUGUAAGCGCAGCGAUGCGUUGAGCUAACCGGUACUAAUGAACCGUGAG